UACGGAGGGGGCAAGCGUUGUUCGGAAUUACUGGGCGUAAAGGGCGCGCAGGCGGCUGCUCAAGUCAGGCGUGAAAGGCCUGGGCUCAACCCGGGAAUUGCGCUUGAGACUGGGCUGGCUUGAGUGCGGGAGAGGAUGGUGGAAUUCCCAGUGUAGAGGUGAAAUUCGUAGAUAUUGGGAAGAACACCGGUGGCGAAGGCGGCCAUCUGGACCGCAACUGACGCUGAGACGCGAAAGCGUGGGGAGCGAACAGG
RNAcentral lists this ribosomal RNA (254 nucleotides) under uncultured bacterium. RNAcentral describes it as "partial 16S ribosomal RNA". It matches the Rfam family "Bacterial small subunit ribosomal RNA", at positions 524 to 776 of the family's 1533-position model. The record is from RNAcentral.